This 907-nucleotide long non-coding RNA is filed under the name Capra hircus (goat). RNAcentral's name for it is "lncRNA (ENSCHIG00000001501.1)". Lineage: Eukaryota; Metazoa; Chordata; Mammalia; Artiodactyla; Bovidae. The record is from RNAcentral.
CUUCUUAAGCUCAGAAUAAGAGCUUAUCAUUUUUUUCAAGAUAGUUGCUUUCCACUUCUUUCUUUUUUCUUUUUUUUUUUUUUCCUUUUCUUUUGGCUUCUUAAAAUCAAACCCAACUUGUCACCCAGGUGCUGGGCCCAGACAGAACCAGUUUUAGGAGGAAAGAAAAGGCCACAGAGUUCCGCAAAGCUAAUUGCUUUCAGGUUCCUCCUUAGCUCUGGGCUUCCUGGUGGCUCAGAUGGUAAAGAAUCUGCCAGCAAUGCAGGAGACCUAGGUUUGACCCCUGGGUUGGGAAGAUCCUCUGGAGGUGGAACUGACAACCUGCUCCAGUAUUCUUGCCCAAGAAAUCCCAUGGACAGAGGAGCCUGGUGGGCUAUAGUCCGUGGGCUUGCAAAGAGUUGGACACCACUGAAUGACUAAACACUUUCACUUCCUUGUGUCGAGCCUCUUAUCUCUGUCUUUCUGUGCCCCUGGGGUUCUCAGACUCCAGUGCUAACAGUCUCCUCUGCCCAGACUUGCAGGCUUGUUUGACGUGCUCAAGAUCUGCUGUUUGGGUCUGUCCGUUAUUUUGUUCUUGCCCCAUCUACCAGGUCCUGGGCGACCUUGCCUUGCUCGCCGCAUCCUGGAGCCAAACAUCCUGACAAAAUGAUACAUCUCCAUCUUGGCUCUGCCCCUGCAAAGACCUAGCCCCCCUGUGACCCCUGACAUGACCACAGCCACAAAUCUGGUAAGGGGCAGAGUUGAAAGGUCAUACCAAAUGCCUUUGAUGGCUCCCCACUGCUCACAGGAUGGAGGCCAGAAUCCUUAAUAAAGCCCUCCACAAGCUGAUCCCUGUUCCCUCUCAUUUCUCACCCUGUGCCCUACGAACUCCUCUCUCUUUCUCAAAAGUACCACGUUCUCUCUUGCU